UAUUUUUCUAAACCCUUUCUCUUUCUUUUUCUUUCUUUACGUUUUUCUUUGCUUUUUUUUAUUCAUUUUAUUUUAUUUAUCUUUUUUAUUAAAAAAAUCAAAAAAAUCAAAUUGUCCAAGAACAGCAAAGGUCAGACGCAAAUUCUCCAACCCAGAAAGGAUCUUUCCCUUCCCUUCUUUCUUUUUUUCAAAAAUUCUGCAACACCACAGUGACAAGAGGAACACGUUAAAACAACCCCUGCAUAACAACUGAACAGCAAACUCAGAGUACUGUCUUUUUUUUCCCAUUUGAAACUGAUGCUCUUAGCAUUGGAAAGUUGAGGUCAAACCCUCCCUUUUCCAUCAACACAAACCCUAGACAUUUGGGUAUAAAACAACAGAAACCAAACGAAAUCAGGGAGAAAAAAAAGAGGGGAAGACAGCCGCAACCUGCAAAACAAAAACAAGCAACAAAACCCUAAUUCUUUUCAUUAACACAGAAGCCACAGCCACAACCUCAAACACAACAGCAAAACAAACCUUUUUUUUCCUCUUCAACCGUUCUAAAAAGAACAACAACCAUCAAAACCCACCACCAACAAUUUUUCAACCAUCGAAACCAAAGAGAAAAAAAAACAAAAAAACAACAGAGGAUAGAAAGAAAGAGAAGGAGUUUAGAGCGAAAGAGAAGAAGAAAAGAAAGACUUUGAAAACUGCCUCCGAUCUGCGUUUGGGUGAGGCUUUUGAACUUUCCGUGCUUAUUUUCGUAUUCUAGGGGUUGAUUAAGGGGGUGGGUUCGAAUCCCCCAGGUGGUUUUUCCACCAUUUUUACUUCUUUUUUUUUUUGCCUUUUUUCUUUUGGAUCUUGGGCUUAAGCCCAGAUCUACUAUCAGCACCCCCCUAUGUUGCUGUUUAUCCCUCCCUGCCUUGUUUAAAUUUUCUUUUUAUUUUUUUUAUGCCAUUUAAUUUAUUUUUACCUUACAUGUCAUGAUUAAUAUUGCCAAAAAUGCCAAAAAUAUGUCAUGUUUCUUGAUGAUAUUUAUUAUUUUUGUUUAAAUGUAAAAAAUGCAAAAAAUAUGUGUUGUAUGAUUAUCUGUUAUCCAAGGGAAUAAAUAUUUUUUCGUUAGCCUCGCGUUACAUUUUUUUACUUGUCCCUUCAAAAUAAAAAGUUUUUGUUCUAAAGAGGAUUUGAAAUGGAGUGGUUGGACGGAUGACUUUCCACUCCCCGGUUACUUUGGAUUUCUUGCCGGAUGGCUUGUGGUCUGAGUAAUCGACGCUAAAAAAUAAUACCCUUUUUUAAAAUAAUGAUAAUACCCUUUUUCAUAUAACAAAACAAAAAAUUUCAAAUAAAUAAAAAAAUACUUUUCAAAAAGAAUCUUUUUCUAAUAAACCUCGACUUUCGUCGAGAGAUUUUUCCAACUCUCUUUUUUUAAAUAAAUGCCUUAAUACACUUAAGCAUGUUUAAAUAUUUUUUUCAAAAGAGACUAAAAAAUAUAAAAACAAAUUCAAACUCUUUUUUGCCGCUUGGCUUUUAGUUUUAAAACCUUUUCCCAAAAAAGUUUAGACGUGAGUCAUCUCCAUGGUCGAAAAUUCUAAUAUUCCCCAUAACAUUAAAACAAUGGAAAAUGUGAUUUCUUCUUCAUUUAGGAGAGUUAGUGGCAUACUCGAUCAUGAAUUCCGAGUGAGAGCCCUUCCCUAUUAUGAAUUAAAAAUCCCAUUUUAACACGUUCGUGGUGGAUUAAAAGGAGUUUAAAACUUAAGAUGACAAUUCGUCUUUCCUCCUAAAAAAAUAACCAAACAAACCAUUUUUACAAUUUUUACCCCGAACUACGAGAUUUUGAUCCUUAACGGGUACGUAGUGCAAGAGACCUUGCGUCUUCCCAAAUCAAAAUUAAUAAAAUACAUAUUUUAUUUUUCUUCUCAUUAUCCCAAUUAUUUAUAAACAAUUAUUUACAAGCAAAUCCUUUUUAGCACAAAAUACACAUAAACACAAGAGGUUCCCGUAGAGUACUACGGAUACGAAGGGUGCUAAUACCUUCCCUUUGUAUAACUAACCCCCGAACCUUUUAAUCUCUAAAAAAUUUAAUUUUGGGUUUAUUCGAUCUUUUUCCCUUCCCUUGGAUAAAUUAAAGUUCGGUGGUGAAUCAUUUUUUGAGAACCAAAGCUAACCAAUAGCUUGGCGUCCAAAAAUCACCGCGACAAUAUCAUUAAAAGUAUACUUUAGAUGUGUACAUCUAAUUUAAGUAAUAAUUUGUGCUAAUUUAAAAUAGACAUGCAAAAGGAGACAUUUAAAAUGGAAAUGCAAAAGCUAAAAACCGAAAAUAAUAUAGUAUAGAUACCAAGUAAUUAUAAAUUUUGUAACAAAAUAAAAUUUAAUUUCAGAAAAACUUAAAAAGUAGAAAAUCACUCUUGUGAAUGUUUUACUUGCAAUUUUCAUAAGUCUUAGUAUUAGUACAUGGGUUAAUUAGGAGAUGCUUUGACUAUCCCGCAUAGCAUUUGAUAUUUGUUUUUAUUGGGUUAUACUUGUUUGUUUGUAGCACUAUAUCUUCAAAAUAAUAAAUUAAGAGUAAUUGAAGAAUGGCUCACAAAAUUCAAGGAAUGUUGAAGAGAAUAGGAUUUAGAUGAUGGAUUGGAGGUUACUCUUGUUAAUUUAGGUAACCAUAAGUGGCUGGAAAAAAAUACACAUGAUAAAGUUGAGACCACUGUAUUAUGUAUAGUAACUUUAUAUAUGUUUUCAUGUCAAAGCAAGUAAUAAAUAAUUCCCAUUCCACAGUUGAUGUACUAAAUGUGUAAACAUUGCCAACCUAAUAGGAUAUAUAGCAAGUAAAAAGUGACCGAAAACAUAAUAAUAAACUAAUAAGAAUCAAAAUCAAGAGUGAAAAAUAGAGAUAUAUGCAAGAAUGGCUCACAAAUAUUUAUUGUUGUUGUUGCAGUCUCUGCAAUAUGUUGUUGUCUGCGAUGUAUCAAACUUGUUAGGAGAUGAUAGAACUAAUUUGUUGGUUGCAGUUAUUAUGCAUAGAGCAAUUCUCUUUUUUAAUGUACAGAAGCCUGAAACUAAUACUAAAUGAAGUGUGAAGGGUAUAUUUGGUAUUAUUAAAAGUUCACAUAUAUGAGUCACGUUUUUCUCUGCAUUUUGCUUGUCUUCUUCCCCAAAUGGGGAUUCAAAUUUUUCAACUCAUGAAAGUCCAUCAUCCUCGUACCAGAUUUGCAAUGUCCAAACCCUAUUUCUUGGACUAUUUAAAAGAAAAAAAAAAAAUCAUUGUGACCGUAACAUCCCCAAAACCGCAAACUCAGAAACCAUAAUCCAUCACCAACCCAUUCAGAACAGAAAGAGAAGAGAAAAGAGACGAGGGAGGCGAAAUCGAAAAAAGAAGAGUCCACCACCACUGUGGAUCUCCGAAAAAAGAAGGGUUGCGGUGUUAUCUGUUUUCAGCUCACGCUCGCGUUGGUAAGUUCGGGAGCUAUCCAUUCUCUGGUUUGUUGAUCUGGGUUUAGGAGGAGGAGAAAUAAUAAUAAUAGAAAAAGAAGAAUCCUCAACUCUCGUCGAGAGAUUUUCAAAACUCUUUUUCUUAAUAAAUGCUUCAAGUUAUAUGUGCCUUCAACUUAUAGUAGUUGUUUUAAAAAUAUGUGUUAUCUUCUAUUUUUACUUUUGGUUUGUAACUUUUCAAACUAAUUGUGAUUAGGUACAUUUGCUAAUUCUCAUCAUGCUUAGUGAAAGAGAUUUAAACAGCUUGCUCACUUUGCUAAUAUCUUCAACACCAACUACAACCUACGAACCCAAACCCUCCAAAUUUUCUUACAUACAAGUACUUGACCUACCCGCAAACGAAGUAAUAGACAAAAUAGAUGCUACUUUUGCUCUUGCUUAUGAGAGAAGCCCCUCAUAUAAUUUCAUAUAUCCUUCGCCUUCGAAUGUUGUCUAUUCCAAAUCUAUUGAUCAUUUAGUACUGAAGAAAAAUGGAAAUUCCAACACAGAGGAUAAAUUUAAAGCAAGGAUGAUAAUAUCCAUUUUAGAAGCGGUACGAAAAUUCUUAAGUGAGGGGAAAACCGUUACAAAGAGAGAGUUAUUUUACCAUUUGUCGAACGAGUUUGAUAAACAAGCUAUAUUAGAUAAUAGGCUACAUGACAUUGCUAUCAUGUUGAAUUGUAGUAUCCGAAGUCUCAAUAUAGUGUCAGGAACAAGAGGUUCCAUAAUAGGAAAUGUGAUUUUUAAGACCAAG
This is a long non-coding RNA of Trifolium pratense (red clover), 4198 nucleotides long. RefSeq lists it as uncharacterized. Lineage: Eukaryota; Viridiplantae; Streptophyta; Magnoliopsida; Fabales; Fabaceae. The transcript is spliced from 2 exons. The record is from RefSeq and is a predicted model, not a curated record.